Long non-coding RNA from Triticum aestivum (bread wheat), 2486 nucleotides. RefSeq lists it as uncharacterized. NCBI's taxonomy places the organism in Eukaryota, Viridiplantae, Streptophyta, Magnoliopsida, Poales, Poaceae. The transcript has 4 exons. The record is from RefSeq and is a predicted model, not a curated record.
AAUUUUUCUAUUCAGUUUUGUGGGGCGGCGGCCGUUUGUUCUAGGUGAGAAGGGUUGACCGAGGCCGGGCGGAGAUGGCGGAGGGGAAGGCGAGUCUCCUCGCCGGUGAGGCGGAGAUGGUGCGCGGCCAGUCCCCGCAUGGAGAGCUCGUAGGCACGAGGCGUGCUUCACAGGGAUGGCUCCAGGUUGGAGAGAUGUGGGCAUGAAGAGGAGCUCAACGGAGCUGCCCCGUCGUGCUCGCCACCAGCAAACUCCAGUCGGUUGGGGCAGUACUAGUCGCCGGCGCCGAUGAGGCGCAAGGUUAUGCAGGCCGGCGUGCCGGAGACGGCACCAUUCUCUCACUGCGGUGGCAUCCAUUACCCGACGACGGCGUGGAUUUAGGACUGUUAUACGUUUAUGGAGCCUCGUGUCAGCAAUUAUCCAAAAACUACAGGGUUGUUGACAGCUCAAACCUCGGCCAACAUGGUCGGUCGGAACCAUCAUGAGCUAGCAGGCAGCUGAGGUCUGCACAGGCUUGCUACGGGCAAAAACGUUAGAUGCGGCUAAUGCAUGUAGGCGAAGGGUUUCUUUCUGUUAUGCGGCGUCAUAGACAAGUACAGCGGCUAGCGACGAUUUAUUCAGUGCGAAGAGUCAUUAUGGCAGCAGCUGGUAGAUGAACUUCAGUGACAGCAAUGCAUGCAAAUCAAGUGUUUUUGUGUCGUGUUAUUAAGGACAACAGCUAGGAAGAAUACAUUCAGACUCCAUCUCACGGCAUGGGCUGGGCAUAUUGAGUGUGAAAUGCCUUUGGAAGCACAAGCUGAUGUUAAAGGCUGCAGAAAUGGACGACACCGUUGUGAUCCAUUAGUAUUUGAUUCCAGCCAAGUGUCGAGAUUAGCAAUGUUCAGUCCACCAUGAGCUUUAGCCUUCGUUUUGUACUUUUUUUGGGUAACAUUUAGUCCAUCCUUUUUUAUCACGAGGAACAUGAGCCGCUGAAGUAAUGUGAAGACUGGGUAGUUUCUUCAGUUUCUUUCGUCAUUGUUUAGGCAUGAGCAGAUGAAGUAAUGUGAAGACUAGGAGGGCCACACAGGCAUUUGUGUCUAAGUUAGUUAGCAUAAUUUUUUACAUUCAUUUCAAAGUCCAUCAUUUUUAUCAUCGAGAGAAGAUCAGUUAUCUCUGUUUGUUAGUUUAAGUCAUCUUUCAUUCACUCACCUUAGUUUCUUACUGUACCUCAGUAUCUUAGUUCAAUUGGUUUUUCUCUCUUCAGUUGUACAUUUUUCUAGGUUUCAGUUUCAGUGUCUCCUUUCCUUAGUUUCGUAUCUCCUUUUCAGUUUUAGUCUCAUUUGUUCCUUAGUUUCAUUAUGUCGAAAUUACCUUUCCUCUUAUUUCAGUCCUUCAUGUUGUGAUUGUUCAGUUUAUUCAUUCGAUCGUUUCCGUGAGUGCUCAGUGUUCAAUUUGUAUUCAUUCUCUAUCUCAGUCCUUCAGUAUAUAUGUCCUCAGUUUUCUUCAGUUUCAGAUUUCUGUAUUUUAGGUUCAGUGUCAUUUUAAGUCUUAUUCAGGUUUCAGUUAUUUGUAUCUUUCUCGUGCUACUCGUUCAUGUUCCUUGUCCUCAGUUGUUUUGUCAUUUCAGUAUUUCAGUUUUAGUAAUUGUUCAGAUCGUCGUCACAUCUUCUGUUAGACUAUAAGUCAAUGUUCAGAUAGUUGACUCAUCAUUGUUCAGUUGUUCUUGCAUCAUCUUAGUCAUAUUCAGUAGGUGUUUUUUUUUCGUUAUCUCAUGUUCAGUCUUUCUCUGUAAAAGAAAUCCAGUAUGUGUCACUUUUUCCUUCAGUUACAGUCAUGAUUAUCGUCAUGUUUCAGUUUUGUAGUCAGUCUUCGUUGUUAUGGUCAUUAAUUCCCCUAGGACAGUUAGCUAGUUUUACUUUUACCAAGUCAUUUUCAUUCCUGAAAUAAAGGUAUUAUUAUUCCUCAGCCAUCAAUUAUCUUCUUUUGUCCUGAGUGUCCAGUUUGCCUCUUUGUUCAGUCUGCUCAUGAUUAACUCAGCAAGUCUCCCACACUAGUGUUUAUCAGUAUCUCAGUUCUAGUUUUCAUUUUCCUCAUGAUUGCACAGUUUUAGUUUUAGUUUCUUCAGUCUCUGUUAAGUGUUUGUAUACUCAGUGAUUGAUCAAUUAUCAGAUUUUUAUGCAGGAAGGUGAUCGCAUUUUUAUUGAGUUCUUCUCUGCCAAGUGGAACAACAGGGACACAAUGAAGGAAGGGCAGUGUGUUGCUACCUGAGAUGAUUCCCCUUGGGGUGGCUCCAGGUGGUUGUGCUCUGGAUCGUAAGCAGUAACCCUCAGAUGCUUCCUCCGGCUCAGCAUGCAUGCUUGUUUCAUUUGAUUCAGGUGUGUGUUCUCCACCCGCAGCAACCGAUGUUUUUUCAGUUUUCAUUAGUCUCUAUCUUCGGAAGUAGUUUCGCAUGUACCUCUUCUCUAAAGGAAUGGAAAGUCGCAUACUGUCAAAGCGUUCCCUUUUCA